UAGGGAAUCUUCGGCAAUGGGCGAAAGUCUGACCGAGCAACGCCGCGUGAGUGAAGAAGGCCUUCGGAUCGUAAAACUCUGUUGGUAGAGAAGAACGUGUAUGGUGAGAGUGUAAAGCUCAUCACAUUGACUGUCUCUACCCACGAAAGGCACGGCUAACUACGUGC
Molecule: ribosomal RNA, 167 nt
Filed under: uncultured bacterium
Lineage: Bacteria
Description: partial 16S ribosomal RNA
Rfam family: Bacterial small subunit ribosomal RNA
Source: RNAcentral